UACGAGGGGGCAAGCGUUGUUCGGAUUUAUUGGGCGUAAAGGGUGCGUAGGCGGUUUGGCAAGUCUUGUGUCGAAAUCUUCGGGCUCAACCCGAAGCCUGCAUAAGAAACUGCCGGGCUUGAGUAUGGGAGAGGUGAGUGGAAUUUCCGGUGUAGCGGUGAAAUGCGUAGAUAUCGGAAGGAACACCUGUGGCGAAAGCGGACUCACUGGACCAUAACUGACGCUGAGG
This 229-nucleotide ribosomal RNA is filed under the name uncultured bacterium. RNAcentral's name for it is "partial 16S ribosomal RNA". It matches the Rfam family "Bacterial small subunit ribosomal RNA", at positions 524 to 751 of the family's 1533-position model. The record is from RNAcentral.